AUCACCUCUCAAGCCUGGCUUGUUGUUGGAUCUAGGUCUUUUGCUUUAGGCAUGACCAAUCCCAAAGAUAAUGAGGCGUCUGUGAGGACCCCAGUACACUGAGCUUUCUAAGCACGUAUUAGGUGGAAGUCCAGGCCCGGUCUUACUUAUAUUUUAUCAAGGUUGACCUCGGAUCAGGUAGGAAUACCCGCUGAACUUAA
RNAcentral lists this unclassified non-coding RNA (200 nucleotides) under soil metagenome. Its description in RNAcentral is "partial contains internal transcribed spacer 2 and large subunit ribosomal RNA". The record is from RNAcentral.